This 783-nucleotide long non-coding RNA is filed under the name Equus caballus (horse). RNAcentral's name for it is "lncRNA (ENSECAG00000054268.1)". The record is from RNAcentral. Lineage: Eukaryota; Metazoa; Chordata; Mammalia; Perissodactyla; Equidae.
CGGACAUGGCACUGCUUGUCAAGCCAUGCUGUGCUUUUGCUCCAUCCCACAAGGUUUGGAAAUUCAGAAGAAAUUAGAAGCCGCAAAAGAAAGACACAAGUCCCAAGAAGGUGAGGUCUUGAAGCAGCUUGCUGAGAAAGGAGAGCACCAGAAACAAAUGUUUCAGAAAGCAGUAGAAGAGAACACAACUUCAGUAAAAUGGCAGAAGAGGAGCUGACCCACAAAAUGGAAGAGAACCAAGAGGCACAGAUGGAUUCCAAGCUGGAGCACGUGUGAGAGAAAGACAAGCACGUGGAAGAAGCAUGGGAGAAGCAUGAAUUCAAAGACCCUGCCGAUGAGACUGAGGCUGACAACUUGUUCCGAGAACUGACUUUCUCCCCCUCCACUGCCUACAUAUCCAAAGACUGUACCGGCCAGCGUCACUUUAUUUUGGCCCUCUUGACAAAUAUUCCAGAAGCUGAUAUAGGACUGUACAGGUAGAUCCAGACUGUAUGAUGUUGUUUUAAGGGCUGAAGGGGAGAAACUAAAAGUGUUUUACUCUUUUUCUAAAAUGCUGAAGUCUUUCUAAUGUGGCUAUUUUUCUUGUGGCAUCUUUUCUGCUUUGGUACACUUGGUGUACUGGGUUAAUGGCUAGUACUGUAUUGGCUCUGUGAAAACAUGUUUGUGAAAAGAGAAGGUAGUGGCUUCUUUCAAACUAUUAGAGAGAAUGUCUGUUCACUAUUAAAUUCCAAUUCCGUCCGAUCUUACCAGAUGCUGCUGCACUUGAAUGAUUAAUAAAACUGC